This 456-nucleotide ribosomal RNA is filed under the name uncultured bacterium. RNAcentral's name for it is "bacterial SSU rRNA". It matches the Rfam family "Bacterial small subunit ribosomal RNA", at positions 29 to 526 of the family's 1533-position model. The record is from RNAcentral.
AUGAACGCUGGCGGUCUGCUUAACACAUGCAAGUCGAACGAACUCCUUCGGGAGGAAGUGGCGGACGGGUGAGUAACGCGUAAGAAUCUAGCUUUGGGUCGGGGAAAACAGUGGGAAACUGCUGCUAAUACCGGAUGAGCCGAGAGGUAAAAGGAGAAAUCCGCCAAAAGAUGAGCUUGCGUCCGAUUAGCUAGUUGGGGGUGUAAGAGACUCCCAAGGCGACGAUCGGUAGCUGGUCUGAGAGGACGAUCAGCCACACUGGGACUGAGACACGGCCCAGACUCCUACGGGAGGCAGCAGUGGGGAAUUUUCCGCAAUGGGCGAAAGCCUGACGGAGCAAGACCGCGUGGGGGAGGAAGGUUCUUGGAUUGUAAACCCCUUUUCUCAGGGAAGAAGCACUGACGGUACCUGAGGAAGAAGCCUCGGCUAACUCCGUGCCAGCCGCCGCCGUAACAC